Molecule: ribosomal RNA, 1471 nt
Filed under: Neisseria meningitidis
Lineage: Bacteria; Pseudomonadati; Pseudomonadota; Betaproteobacteria; Neisseriales; Neisseriaceae
Description: bacterial SSU rRNA
Rfam family: Bacterial small subunit ribosomal RNA
Source: RNAcentral
UUGAACGCUGGCGGCAUGCUUUACACAUGCAAGUCGGACGGCAGCACAGAGAAGCUUGCUUCUCGGGUGGCGAGUGGCGAACGGGUGAGUAACAUAUCGGAACGUACCGAGUAGUGGGGGAUAACUGAUCGAAAGAUCAGCUAAUACCGCAUACGUCUUGAGAGAGAAAGCAGGGGACCUUUGGGCCUUGCGCUAUUCGAGCGGCCGAUAUCUGAUUAGCUAGUUGGUGGGGUAAAGGCCUACCAAGGCGACGAUCAGUAGCGGGUCUGAGAGGAUGAUCCGCCACACUGGGACUGAGACACGGCCCAGACUCCUACGGGAGGCAGCAGUGGGGAAUUUUGGACAAUGGGCGCAAGCCUGAUCCAGCCAUGCCGCGUGUCUGAAGAAGGCCUUCGGGUUGUAAAGGACUUUUGUCAGGGAAGAAAAGGCUGUUGCUAAUAUCAGCGGCUGAUGACGGUACCUGAAGAAUAAGCACCGGCUAACUACGUGCCAGCAGCCGCGGUAAUACGUAGGGUGCGAGCGUUAAUCGGAAUUACUGGGCGUAAAGCGGGCGCAGACGGUUACUUAAGCAGGAUGUGAAAUCCCCGGGCUCAACCCGGGAACUGCGUUCUGAACUGGGUGACUCGAGUGUGUCAGAGGGAGGUAGAAUUCCACGUGUAGCAGUGAAAUGCGUAGAGAUGUGGAGGAAUACCGAUGGCGAAGGCAGCCUCCURGGACAACACUGACGUUCAUGCCCGAAAGCGUGGGUAGCAAACAGGAUUAGAUACCCUGGUAGUCCACGCCCUAAACGAUGUCAAUUAGCUGUUGGGCAACUUGAUUGCUUAGUAGCGUAGCUAACGCGUGAAAUUGACCGCCUGGGGAGUACGGUCGCAAGAUUAAAACUCAAAGGAAUUGACGGGGACCCGCACAAGCGGUGGAUGAUGUGGAUUAAUUCGAUGCAACGCGAAGAACCUUACCUGGUCUUGACAUGUACGGAAUCCUCCAGAGACGGAGGAGUGCCUUCGGGAGCCGUAACACAGGUGCUGCAUGGCUGUCGUCAGCUCGUGUCGUGAGAUGUUGGGUUAAGUCCCGCAACGAGCGCAACCCUUGUCAUUAGUUGCCAUCAUUCAGUUGGGCACUCUAAUGAGACUGCCGGUGACAAGCCGGAGGAAGGUGGGGAUGACGUCAAGUCCUCAUGGCCCUUAUGACCAGGGCUUCACACGUCAUACAAUGGUCGGUACAGAGGGUAGCCAAGCCGCGAGGCGGAGCCAAUCUCACAAAACCGAUCGUAGUCCGGAUUGCACUCUGCAACUCGAGUGCAUGAAGUCGGAAUCGCUAGUAAUCGCAGGUCAGCAUACUGCGGUGAAUACGUUCCCGGGUCUUGUACACACCGCCCGUCACACCAUGGGAGUGGGGGAUACCAGAAGUAGGUAGGGUAACCGCAAGGAGCCCGCUUACCACGGUAUGCUUCAUGACUGGGGUGAAGUCGUAA